UACGGGGGGUGCAAGCGUUAUCCGGAUUCACUGGGUUUAAAGGGUGCGUAGGUGGCUUUGUAAGUCAGUGGUGAAAUGCCGGAGCUUAACUCCGGAACUGCCAUUGAUACUGCUUAGCUUGAAUCACGUCGAGGUGGAUGGAAUAUUACAUGUAGCGGUGAAAUGCUUAGAUAUGUAAUAGAACACCGAUUGCGAAGGCAGUUCACUAGGCGUGUAUUGACACUGAGGCACGAAAGCGUGGGGAUCAAACAGG
RNAcentral lists this ribosomal RNA (253 nucleotides) under uncultured bacterium. Its description in RNAcentral is "partial 16S ribosomal RNA". It matches the Rfam family "Bacterial small subunit ribosomal RNA", at positions 524 to 776 of the family's 1533-position model. The record is from RNAcentral.